RNAcentral lists this ribosomal RNA (460 nucleotides) under uncultured bacterium. RNAcentral's name for it is "partial 16S ribosomal RNA". It matches the Rfam family "Bacterial small subunit ribosomal RNA", at positions 338 to 795 of the family's 1533-position model. The record is from RNAcentral.
CCUACGGGCGGCAGCAGUGAGGAAUAUUGGUCAAUGGACGAGAGUCUGAACCAGCCAAGUAGCGUGAAGGAUGACUGCCCUAUGGGUUGUAAACUUCUUUUAUAAAGGAAUAAAACGAGGCACGUGUGCCUUUUUGCAUGUACUUUAUGAAUAAGGAUCGGCUAACGCCGUGCCAGCAGCCGCGGUAAUACGGAGGAUCCGAGCGUUACACGGAUUUAUUGGGUUUAAAGGGAGCGUAGAUGGGUUGUUAAGUCAGUUGUGAAAGUUUGCGGCUCAACCUGACAAUUGAAAUUGAUACUGGCAGUCUUGAGUACAGUUGAGGUAGGCGGAAUUCGUGGUGUAGCGGUGAAAUGCUUAGAUAUCACGAAGAACCCCGAUUGCGAAGGCAGCUUACUAAACUGUGACUGACAUUGAUGCUCGAAAGUGUGGGUAGCAAACAGGAUUAGAUACCCUUGUAGUC